RNAcentral lists this ribosomal RNA (252 nucleotides) under uncultured Bacteroidales bacterium. Its description in RNAcentral is "partial 16S ribosomal RNA". It matches the Rfam family "Bacterial small subunit ribosomal RNA", at positions 524 to 776 of the family's 1533-position model. The record is from RNAcentral. Lineage: Bacteria; Pseudomonadati; Bacteroidota; Bacteroidia; Bacteroidales.
UACGGAGGAUUCAAGCGUUAUCCGGAUUUAUUGGGUUUAAAGGGUGCGUAGGCUGUCGGAUAAGUUAGAGGUCAAAUGUCGGGGCUCAACCCCGGCCUGCCGUUGAAACUGGCGGCCUCGAGUGGGCGAGAAGUAUGCGGAAUGCGUGGUGUAGCGGUGAAAUGCAUAGAUAUCACGCAGAACUCCGAUUGCGAAGGCAGCAUACCGGCGCCCAACUGACGCUGAGGCACGAAAGCGUGGGUAUCGAACAGG